GAAGCCGAUGAAGGACGUUACUAACGACGAUAUGCUUUGGGGAGCUGUAAGUAAGCUUUGAUCCAGAGAUUUCCGAAUGGGGAAACCCAGCAUGAGUUAUGUCAUGUUAUCGAUAUGUGAAUACAUAGCAUAUCAGAAGGCACACCCGGAGAACUGAAACAUCUUAGUACCCGGAGGAAGAGAAAGAAAAUUCGAUUCCCUUAGUAGCGGCGAGCGAAACGGGAAGAGCCCAAACCAACAAGCUUGCUUGUUGGGGUUGUAGGACACUCUAUACGGAGUUACAAAGGACGACAUUAGACGAAUCAUCUGGAAAGAUGAAUCAAAGAAGGUAAUAAUCCUGUAGUCGAAAAUGUUGUCUCUCUUGAGUGGAUCCUGAGUACGACGGAGCACGUGAAAUUCCGUCGGAAUCUGGGAGGACCAUCUCCUAAGGCUAAAUACUCUCUAGUGACCGAUAGUGAACCAGUACCGUGAGGGAAAGGUGAAAAGCACCCCGGAAGGGGAGUGAAAUAGAACCUGAAACCGUGUGCUUACAAGUAGUCAGAGCCCGUUAAUGGGUGAUGGCGUGCCUUUUGUAGAAUGAACCGGCGAGUUACGAUUUGAUGCAAGGUUAAGCAGUAAAUGUGGAGCCGUAGCGAAAGCGAGUCUGAAUAGGGCGUUUAGUAUUUGGUCGUAGACCCGAAACCAGGUGAUCUACCCUUGGUCAGGUUGAAGUUCAGGUAACACUGAAUGGAGGACCGAACCGACUUACGUUGAAAAGUGAGCGGAUGAACUGAGGGUAGCGGAGAAAUUCCAAUCGAACCUGGAGAUAGCUGGUUCUCUCCGAAAUAGCUUUAGGGCUAGCCUCAAGUGAUGAUUAUUGGAGGUAGAGCACUGUUUGGACGAGGGGCCCCUCUCGGGUUACCGAAUUCAGACAAACUCCGAAUGCCAAUUAAUUUAACUUGGGAGUCAGAACAUGGGUGAUAAGGUCCGUGUUCGAAAGGGAAACAGCCCAGACCACCAGCUAAGGUCCCAAAAUAUAUGUUAAGUGGAAAAGGAUGUGGCGUUGCCCAGACAACUAGGAUGUUGGCUUAGAAGCAGCCAUCAUUUAAAGAGUGCGUAAUAGCUCACUAGUCGAGUGACACUGCGCCGAAAAUGUACCGGGGCUAAACAUAUUACCGAAGCUGUGGAUUGUCCUUUGGACAAUGGUAGGAGAGCGUUCUAAGGGCGUUGAAGCAUGAUCGUAAGGACAUGUGGAGCGCUUAGAAGUGAGAAUGCCGGUGUGAGUAGCGAAAGACGGGUGAGAAUCCCGUCCACCGAUUGACUAAGGUUUCCAGAGGAAGGCUCGUCCGCUCUGGGUUAGUCGGGUCCUAAGCUGAGGCCGACAGGCGUAGGCGAUGGAUAACAGGUUGAUAUUCCUGUACCACCUAUAAUCGUUUUAAUCGAUGGGGGGACGCAGUAGGAUAGGCGAAGCGUGCGAUUGGAUUGCACGUCUAAGCAGUAAGGCUGAGUAUUAGGCAAAUCCGGUACUCAUUAAGGCUGAGCUGUGAUGGGGAGAAGACAUUGUGUCUUCGAGUCGUUGAUUUCACACUGCCGAGAAAAGCCUCUAGAUAGAAAAUAGGUGCCCGUACCGCAAACCGACACAGGUAGUCAAGAUGAGAAUUCUAAGGUGAGCGAGCGAACUCUCGUUAAGGAACUCGGCAAAAUGACCCCGUAACUUCGGGAGAAGGGGUGCUCUUUAGGGUUAACGCCCAGAAGAGCCGCAGUGAAUAGGCCCAAGCGACUGUUUAUCAAAAACACAGGUCUCUGCUAAACCGUAAGGUGAUGUAUAGGGGCUGACGCCUGCCCGGUGCUGGAAGGUUAAGAGGAGUGGUUAGCUUCUGCGAAGCUACGAAUCGAAGCCCCAGUAAACGGCGGCCGUAACUAUAACGGUCCUAAGGUAGCGAAAUUCCUUGUCGGGUAAGUUCCGACCCGCACGAAAGGCGUAACGAUUUGGGCACUGUCUCAACGAGAGACUCGGUGAAAUCAUAGUACCUGUGAAGAUGCAGGUUACCCGCGACAGGACGGAAAGACCCCGUGGAGCUUUACUGUAGCCUGAUAUUGAAAUUCGGCACAGCUUGUACAGGAUAGGUAGGAGCCUUUGAAACGUGAGCGCUAGCUUACGUGGAGGCGCUGGUGGGAUACUACCCUAGCUGUGUUGGCUUUCUAACCCGCACCACUUAUCGUGGUGGGAGACAGUGUCAGGCGGGCAGUUUGACUGGGGCGGUCGCCUCCUAAAAGGUAACGGAGGCGCUCAAAGGUUCCCUCAGAAUGGUUGGAAAUCAUUCAUAGAGUGUAAAGGCAUAAGGGAGCUUGACUGCGAGACCUACAAGUCGAGCAGGGUCGAAAGACGGACUUAGUGAUCCGGUGGUUCCGCAUGGAAGGGCCAUCGCUCAACGGAUAAAAGCUACCCCGGGGAUAACAGGCUUAUCUCCCCCAAGAGUUCACAUCGACGGGGAGGUUUGGCACCUCGAUGUCGGCUCAUCGCAUCCUGGGGCUGUAGUCGGUCCCAAGGGUUGGGCUGUUCGCCCAUUAAAGCGGUACGCGAGCUGGGUUCAGAACGUCGUGAGACAGUUCGGUCCCUAUCCGUCGUGGGCGUAGGAAAUUUGAGAGGAGCUGUCCUUAGUACGAGAGGACCGGGAUGGACAUACCUCUGGUGUACCAGUUGUCGUGCCAACGGCAUAGCUGGGUAGCUAUGUGUGGACGGGAUAAGUGCUGAAAGCAUCUAAGCAUGAAGCCCCCCUCAAGAUGAGAUUUCCCAACUUCGGUUAUAAGAUCCCUCAAAGAUGAUGAGGUUAAUAGGUUCGAGGUGGAAGCAUGGUGACAUGUGGAGCUGACGAAUACUAA
Molecule: ribosomal RNA, 2862 nt
Filed under: Staphylococcus aureus
Lineage: Bacteria; Bacillati; Bacillota; Bacilli; Caryophanales; Staphylococcaceae
Description: partial 23S ribosomal RNA
Rfam family: Bacterial large subunit ribosomal RNA
Source: RNAcentral